RNAcentral lists this ribosomal RNA (492 nucleotides) under uncultured bacterium. RNAcentral describes it as "partial 16S ribosomal RNA". It matches the Rfam family "Bacterial small subunit ribosomal RNA", at positions 29 to 507 of the family's 1533-position model. The record is from RNAcentral.
AGUGAACGCUGGCGGUAGGCCUAACACAUGCAAGUCGAACGGCAGCACAGUAAGAGCUUGCUCUUACGGGUGGCGAGUGGCGGACGGGUGAGGAAUACAUCGGAAUCUACUUUUUCGUGGGGGAUAACGUAGGGAAACUUACGCUAAUACCGCAUACGACCUACGGGUGAAAGCAGAGGAUCUUCGGACCUUGCGCGAUUGAAUGAGCCGAUGUCGGAUUAGCUAGUUGGCGGGGUAAAGGCCCACCAAGGCGACGAUCCGUAGCUGGUCUGAGAGGAUGAUCAGCCACACUGGAACUGAGACACGGUCCAGACUCCUACGGGAGGCAGCAGUGGGGAAUAUUGGACACAGGGCGCAAGCCUGAUCCAGCCAUACCGCGUGGGUGAAGAAGGCCUUCGGGUUGUAAAGCCCUUUUGUUGGGAAAGAAAAGCAGCAGGUUAAUACCCCGCUGUUCUGACGGUACCCAAAGAAUAAGCACCGGCUAACUUCGUG